Molecule: ribosomal RNA, 253 nt
Filed under: uncultured bacterium
Lineage: Bacteria
Description: partial 16S ribosomal RNA
Rfam family: Bacterial small subunit ribosomal RNA
Source: RNAcentral
UACGUAGGGUGCGAGCGUUGUCCGGAAUUAUUGGGCGUAAAGAGCUCGUAGGCGGUUUGUCGCGUCUGCUGUGAAAACUCGGGGCUUAACCCCGGGCCUGCUUCCGAUACGGGCAGACUAGAGGUAUGCAGGGGAGAACGGAAUUCCUGGUGUAGCGGUGAAAUGCGCAGAUAUCAGGAGGAACACCGGUGGCGAAGGCGGUUCUCUGGGCAUUACCUGACGCUGAGGAGCGAAAGUGUGGGGAGCGAACAGG